UUGGUGGCGUGGAUUAGGCAUGCAAGUCGUGCGAGAGGGGGCCUUCGGGCCCCGGACAGCGGCGAACGGGGUAGUAAGGCGUCGGUACGUGCCCAGGGGUCCGGGAUAGCGGCGGGAAACUGCCGGUAAUACCGGAUGACCUCUUCGGAGCAAAGGUGUGAUUCCGCCCGUGGAGCGGCCGACGUGGUACCAGGUAGUUGGGGGGGUAACGGCCCACCAAUCCUUACACGCCUAGGGGGUGUGAGAGCAUGGCCCCCACCACUGGGACUGAGACACUGCCCACACACCUACGGGUGGCUGCAGUCAAGAAUCUUCGGCAAUGGGCGCAAGCCUGACCGAGCGACGCCACGUGCGGGAUGACCGCCCUCGGGUUGUAAACCGCUGUCGGGGGGGAUGAAGUCGCGGGAGGCAAUCCUCUCGUGUUGACAGACCCCCGGAGGAAGCGCGGGCUAAGUACGUGCCAGCAGCCGCGGUAAGACGUACUGCGCGAACUUUAUUCAGAAUCACUGGGCUUAAAGGGUGCGCAGGCGGCUGCCCAAGCCCGAAGUGAAAGGUCCCGGCCCAACCGGGGACGUGCUUCGGGGGACUGGGCGGCUCGGGCGAGCUAAGGGUCUGUGCAACUCCCGGUGGAGCGGUGAUAUGUGUUGAGAUCGGGAAGGAACGCCGG
Molecule: ribosomal RNA, 667 nt
Filed under: uncultured bacterium
Lineage: Bacteria
Description: bacterial SSU rRNA
Rfam family: Bacterial small subunit ribosomal RNA
Source: RNAcentral